RNAcentral lists this ribosomal RNA (169 nucleotides) under Cheilodipterus macrodon (large toothed cardinalfish). Its description in RNAcentral is "partial 12S rRNA". RNAcentral also lists the same sequence under 1 other name. The record is from RNAcentral. Lineage: Eukaryota; Metazoa; Chordata; Actinopteri; Kurtiformes; Apogonidae.
CACCGCGGUUAUACGAGAGGCCCAAGCUGACAGUUACCGGCGUAAAGAGUGGUUAAUAACCCACAACUACUAAAGCCGAACAUCUCCAAAGUUGUACAACGCACUCGAAGACAUGAAGAACAACCGCGAAAGUGGCUUUAACCUCUUUGAACCCACGAAAGCUAGGAAA